CUGGAGCAUGACGCAAUGACUCGCAUCACUCGUUUCACCGGCCUACUACUACUAAACGCAUCCUCUGUGCGCGGUAGUCUGGUGGGCGACGUUUAGCGAUAAGUCAUCUUCCAGCAAGACAGAAAACCCGCGCCUCUGCGCGGGUUUUUUU
Enterobacter cloacae is the source of this 151-nucleotide regulatory RNA element. It matches the Rfam family "Leucine operon leader". From Rfam's summary of the family: At least 6 amino acid operons are known to be regulated by attenuation. The record is from Rfam. Lineage: Bacteria; Pseudomonadati; Pseudomonadota; Gammaproteobacteria; Enterobacterales; Enterobacteriaceae.